RNAcentral lists this ribosomal RNA (255 nucleotides) under uncultured bacterium. RNAcentral describes it as "partial 16S ribosomal RNA". It matches the Rfam family "Bacterial small subunit ribosomal RNA", at positions 526 to 779 of the family's 1533-position model. The record is from RNAcentral.
CGUAGGGUGCGAGCGUUGUCCGGAAUUACUGGGCGUAAAGAGCUCGUAGGUGGUUUGUCGCGUCGUCUGUGAAAUUCCGGGGCUUAACUCCGGGCGUGCAGGCGAUACGGGCAUAACUUGAGUACUGUAGGGGAGACUGGAAUUCCUGGUGUAGCGGUGAAAUGCGCAGAUAUCAGGAGGAACACCGGUGGCGAAGGCGGUCUCUGGGCAGUAACUGACGCUGAGGAGCGAAAGCAUGGGGGAGCGAACAGGAUU